CUUAUUUUUAUUGUCUGACA
Molecule: unclassified non-coding RNA, 20 nt
Filed under: Dictyostelium discoideum
Lineage: Eukaryota; Evosea; Eumycetozoa; Dictyosteliales; Dictyosteliaceae
Source: RNAcentral